UACCAAAUCUCACAAGCCUAUAUGGGCAGAAACCCGAGUCACAAACAGUCCCCCAACGUUUCGGCUCCUCCUGGCAGCCUUUAUCAAGGGUAGCUAUAUCAUAGCAUCAUCCAGGAACCCAUUAUAUACACAUAUACAACUUACUAAUUACUUACAGCUGAUGGCCAUCAGUGAUAUCACAAAGAGCCAAGACCGGAAGUGACAUCAUCACUUCAGAUCAUAGCCCUGUAUAAAGAAUUAAAUAACAUACAUAGUUAUUGUACAUUCCCAAUGUUAUUCCCAAACUGACUGCCUCAUUGAUGCAAAAAAUGUCCCACUACUGUACAAUCCACAAACCUUCUCGCCAGUCUAAAUGAAACGCGCAUGCGCAAUACAAACAAAAACGAUCACCACAUCGUCCACUGGCACCACAAACAUACCAACAUUAAUAUACUCCACAUAACCCCAAGGAAAUACCAAGCACUAAAGCUCUACAUAAACAAUAACAAAACGCGCAUUUCACCUUAUUUUGCUCGGCCAAUCAUACCGGGGUUCCCUUCCUACGGAAGCCUCCGAGAUCCACAUCUAAUAGAAAGUCGCAUCAAAAGAGCACCGCGCCGCUCGCGCAUGCGCAUCCCCCAAAUUAAAGGAAUGUAUGCAAAUUGUCAAUACACUGACCAGCUCUCUUAAAGGGAAAAUGUCAUAAACAUAAGAAUUACUUCCAAUAUAACAUAAUAAGUGUAUAAAUGGUCCUGUAGUAUAGCAGAACAAAUAAAUAAUAUCUAUAACAGUGAAAAAUACCUCCACCAAAAUAUUACCACCAAAACAAUAUAUAAUUACUAUACUAAACUAGUGUUUAUACAUCCAUUGUAUACAAAACAUACAUCCAGCACCUACCGAACGAUCAAAUCACUCCCCAAAAGGGAAAUGUAAUACAAAAGAAUCAUAUAUCAUAC
This is a non-coding RNA of Pelobates cultripes (western spadefoot toad), 935 nucleotides long. Lineage: Eukaryota; Metazoa; Chordata; Amphibia; Anura; Pelobatidae. The record is from the annotation of a GenBank genome assembly.